Molecule: long non-coding RNA, 2198 nt
Filed under: Salvia miltiorrhiza (redroot sage)
Lineage: Eukaryota; Viridiplantae; Streptophyta; Magnoliopsida; Lamiales; Lamiaceae
Description: long non-coding RNA (SMIL_LNC006749)
Source: RNAcentral
AAACAAUUUUGAUUAAAAUACUUUGUUUACUUUCAUAACAGUCAACAACCAAUGAAAACUUAUACAAAACCUACAAGCUAAUAACUUUAGCAGUAACAUCGUCAACCGUAUAAAAGUAUUAAAAAAUGAAAAACUACAAAUAAGGUACAAGUAUAAUGCUCCUGAAAGUGAUGGACAAUCUAACAUUCUUUCAUAGCUGAGUAGUUCGCUUUAUACACCUUGUGCAUCACCUGUUAGUACCACUUCUCUGCAUCCAACAACCAAUUCAAAUAUGAUAGGUGAAAGGAUUAAGACUUUGAAACAUGAAUAAAUAUCAGAACUACCAAUGUUAUCUUUGUCAAGUUAUCUCCCAUCAAUCCACAAAAUCAAUUCAUUACCUCACAACAAAAUCGAGAGCCAUUAGAACUCAAUAAAGGGAGUAAUACAAAAGGUAACUAACAAAUAGAGAGGUUAAAAAAUUAGAAUAGUAUGAUUAAGAGUACUAAAGCUAUUACAUUAUUCAUAUUUAAUAAUUAGGCAUUAAGCAAUCAAGUACAAUCUAGUUCUUGUGAAUUGGAUCCACCCAUUGUAACCAUAUUAAUUACAAAGCAAUGCUUCUUUCCAAACUAAAAGGAAAAGUAUCUAAAUAAUACUAGAGCUUAUUCCAGUUCAGACAUUAAUAGGUAAAGGAAAUAUUACUGUUAAAGAAUAACGAAACUCACCAGUCACCAGCUUUGCAUCUUGUUUUGAGAUCAAUUGUUUCUUGACCAUUUUCAAUGAACUGAAGAUGAAACAUCCAAAUCAAAGGUAUAUAAACACAAGCAUAACAUAAAUAACAUAUACAAAAUCAUAUUUGUGUUAGUUUGGCAUAAGCAAAGACGAUUCCAACAAACUAAAUAAUAAUAUCUUAAGUUACUUGUUAAAAAAGUAGUGAACACUACAUUAAAACCUUCAUUCAGCUCAUUAAAAAAGUGAGUUCUCUUACCAUGAGUAGUGCAACGAAUAUGAGAGAGCUUGUGAAUCCUUCAAGAAAAGUAAACGACUUUGAAGAAGCUAACUUUGCUCUAAAUAUUUCUUGUAAAAUAAGAGUGGAAACAAAUAGAAAACAUGAAUAAAACAUAGGACUCCUAGCAGUUGGGUGAUCAACACAAUCCAAUUUUGGAUUUUACAAAUAUUGGAUCAAAUUACGUUUUGAGAAAUUUCACUUUGAGCUGAAAUAUGAAAUAUUUACCUGACAAUAUAAUACGUACAAAAGAGGAAGAAUUCACAUCACAAACUCCCUGCCAAAAAAACCCAACAAAUAUCUUCAUUUAAUACUCAUUAAUAUGCAUAAACUUGCCAAAAAACAAUUAAAUUUACUUACAUCAGAUUAGCUAGUUUUUUGACAUAAAAAGUUGUAUCCUCAACCUCUGGUUCAAUUAAGUGCUGGGCAACACAAGAUUAGGCAGGUCCCAAAUGGAUAUUGAUCUCUUUAGGGAGCCCUCAUCUAUGAGUACGACCACUACGCCUACCAAAAUCACCUUAUUUAUUUCAAUGACAAAGAUUUUAACAUAAAAAUCUAAAUAUGCAGAAGAACGAUUUUAACAUAAAAAGCUAAAUAUGCAGAAGAACAUUUGAUAGAAAUCAAGUUUCAUGAAAUCAAAAUAUUGCAUCAUAUGUUUAUGGGGAUUCUCUAGUACUAUACACUCACAAUAAAAAGUUCACAAAAAUCUCAAAUAAAUUGAACCUCUUUUUCACCUUGACACCCCAUGUAAUUCACGGUCCCUGUAACCAUAGGAAAAAGCNCUCGAGCCGACAAACACCAAAUAAACUUCAAACUUUUUAUAAUAACCUAACGAGUAAAUACAGGAUUUGGGCAUCCAAACAAUUUAACAAUAAGACUACAAAAAAUCAAAAGCAACAAAUAUUAUAACCGAAAAAUAUAAUUUCACCUCAAGAAGAGCGGCUACGGAGUAGAAGAAGAUGCAGAACGACGCCGCCAGAACUGCUCUUGCACUCCGUCCUCUGCCCCUUCCUUAAAUCUAAUUAUAUAGAGAUUUUGCUAUCAAAUUGACAAGAUCUGGGAAAAUUUCAUUGUUUCUAUGCUUGUAAAGAAAUUGAAAAGAAAAUAUUACAAACCCUACAAUUACAAACAGUUUCUAUUUUUCAUCUUUUUCAUAUAGAAAAGUUAAUUAAUUUGGUGGGAGAGUGCACGAUGGAAUUUCGAAGUAUGAGGCGGU